CUUCAGCGAGCCGAGCCGCAGCGGCUGGUCCCGGUCACGCCCGUAGGCGGCCAGCAGGGCGCGGGCCUC
RNAcentral lists this antisense RNA (69 nucleotides) under Streptomyces lydicus. RNAcentral describes it as "ASpks TB sRNA". It matches the Rfam family "ASpks TB sRNA". The record is from Rfam by way of RNAcentral. Lineage: Bacteria; Bacillati; Actinomycetota; Actinomycetes; Kitasatosporales; Streptomycetaceae.